This 468-nucleotide ribosomal RNA is filed under the name uncultured bacterium. RNAcentral describes it as "partial 16S ribosomal RNA". It matches the Rfam family "Bacterial small subunit ribosomal RNA", at positions 28 to 507 of the family's 1533-position model. The record is from RNAcentral.
GACGAACGCUGGCGGCGUGCUUAACACAUGCAAGUCGAACGGAAAGGCCCUGCUUUUGUGGUGUGCUCGAGUGGCGAACGGGUGAGUAACACGUGAGUAACCUGCCCUUGACUUUGGGAUAACUUCAGGAAACUGGGGCUAAUACCGGAUAGGAGCUCCUGCUGCAUGGUGGGGGUUGGAAAGUUUCGGCGGUUGGGGAUGGACUCGCGGCUUAUCAGCUUGUUGGUGGGGUAGUGGCUUACCAAGGCUUUGACGGGUAGCCGGCCUGAGAGGGUGACCGGCCACAUUGGGACUGAGAUACGGACCAGACUGCUACGGGAGGCAGCAGUGGGGAAUAUUGCACAAUGGGCGGAAGCCUGAGGCAGAAACGCCGCGUGCGGGAUGACGGCCUUCGGGUUGUAAACCGCUUUCGCCUGUGACGAAGCGUGAGUGACGGUAAUGGGUAAAGAAGCACCGGCUAACUACGUG